Molecule: ribosomal RNA, 402 nt
Filed under: uncultured bacterium
Lineage: Bacteria
Description: bacterial SSU rRNA
Rfam family: Bacterial small subunit ribosomal RNA
Source: RNAcentral
UGGGGAAUCUUGCACAAUGAGGGAAACCCUGAUGCAGCGACGCCGCGUGAACGAUGAAGCCCUUCGGGGUGUAAAGUUCUUUCGACAGGAACGAUAAUGACGGUACCUGGAGAAGAAGCUGCGGCUAUCUACGUGCCAGCAGCCGCGGUAAUACGUAGGCAGCGAGCGCUGUUCGGAGUUACUGGGCGUAAAGAGUGCGUAGGCGGCGAGCCAAGUUUGGUGUGAAAUCUCCCGGCUUAACCGGGAGGGUGCGCCGAAAACUGGGAAGCUGGAGUGUGGGAAAGGCAGGCGGAAUUCCUGGUGUAGCGGUGAAAUGCGUAGAUAUCAGGAGGAACACCGGCGGUGUAGACGGCUUGCUAGACCAUAACUGACGCUGAGGCACGAAAGCGUGGGUAGCAAACA